This 462-nucleotide signal recognition particle RNA is filed under the name Macaca mulatta (Rhesus monkey). RNAcentral's name for it is "Metazoan signal recognition particle RNA (ENSMMUG00000065270.1)". It matches the Rfam family "Metazoan signal recognition particle RNA". Rfam says of the family: The signal recognition particle (SRP) is a universally conserved ribonucleoprotein. It is involved in the co-translational targeting of proteins to membranes. The record is from RNAcentral. Lineage: Eukaryota; Metazoa; Chordata; Mammalia; Primates; Cercopithecidae.
GCAGGGUGUGGUGGCGCAUGCCUGUAGUCCCAGCUACUCAGGAGGCUGAGGCAGGAGAAUCGCUUGAACCCAGGAGGCAGAGGUUGCGGUGAGCUGAGAUCGUGCCACUGCACUUCAGCCCGGGGGACAGAACGAGGCUCUGUUUAAAAAAAAAAAAAAAAAAAAAAAAAAAAUUCAGUCUAGUGUCAAUUAGAUGUACAUUGCUGAGGUAUUUUAUCUAUUGCAGAUUUUUUUCCCCUUUUGAUUGCAUCAGGCAUAUUGCCCUGUAAAUUGUGGUAGUGAUACCAGGAAUAAAAUAUUAAAUAAUUUUAUUGGAAGCAGAGGACUGCCAAGUUGACUGAGGAGGGGUAAACUGGCCCAGGUUGGAAACAGAGCAGGUCAAAAUUCUCAUGCUGAUUAGUAGUGAGUCACACCUGUGAGUAGCCACUGCACUUUAUCCUGGGCAGCAAGACCCUGUCUCUA